ACGGAAGGCAGCAGUGGGGAAUAUUGCACAAUGGGGGAAACCCUGAUGCAGCGACGCCGCGUGAGUGAAGAAGUAUUUCGGUAUGUAAAGCUCUAUCAGCGGGAAAGAAAAUGACGGUACCUGACUAAGAAGCCCCGGCUAACUACGUGCCAGCAGCCGCGGUAAUACGUAGGGGGCAAGCGUUAUCCGGAUUUACUGGGUGUAAAGGGAGCGUAGACGGCUUUGCAAGUCUGAAGUGAAAGCCCGGGGCUCAACCCCGGAACUGCUUUGGAAACUGUAGAGCUAGAGUGCAGGAGAGGUAAGUGGAAUUCCUAGUGUAGCGGUGAAAUGCGUAGAUAUUAGGAGGAACACCAGUGGCGAAGGCGGCUUACUGGACUGUAACUGACGUUGAGGCUCGAAGGCGUGGGGAGCAAACAGGAUUAGAUACCCUGGUA
This 434-nucleotide ribosomal RNA is filed under the name uncultured Lachnospiraceae bacterium. RNAcentral's name for it is "partial 16S ribosomal RNA". It matches the Rfam family "Bacterial small subunit ribosomal RNA", at positions 341 to 792 of the family's 1533-position model. Lineage: Bacteria; Bacillati; Bacillota; Clostridia; Lachnospirales; Lachnospiraceae. The record is from RNAcentral.